GCCUGAACCGCAGUGGCCAGGCAUUCCUCCAGAACCUCCUCCCACAGGAGCUUGCUACAUGUGCCAGAAAUCUGAUCACUGGGCCAAGGAAUGCCCUCAGCCCGGGAUUCCUCCUAAGCCGCGUCCCAUCUGUGUGGGACCCCACUGAAAAUCGGACUGUUCAACUCACCUGGCAGCCACUCCCAGAGCCCCUGGAACUCUGGCCGAAGGCUCUCUGACUGACUCCUUCUCAGCUUAGCGGCUGAAGACUGACACUGCGCGAUCGCCUCGGAAGCCCCCUAGACCAUCACGGAUGCCGAGCCUUAGGUAACUCUCACAGUGGAAGGUGGUCAGGAAGAAGUCAAAUCUUCUAGAGGAGGUAGGUCACUCCUGCCCCUUAACGCCUCAGUCCAGCUCUCCUCUAGGACCUCAGAGACUCCACUUCGCCCAUUUGCCAGUCAGUUCUUGCACUUUUCCACGGUGGAAAAUAUUCUUAUAUUGCUGCCAGUGCAGAAUCAACCACUGACCUACCAGAAUCCACCAUGGACCUGGAGUCACCCACAGAUGUGUACCUGGAGAACACCCAGGCUUUCCAAAAUGAAGCAAAUUCUCCAUUAGCUGUGAUGAUCACUGCUAUCCACUACUUUCUAAGAAGAUUCUAUGCUUUUGAGCAUGCCUACCACUACACUAUAGGAGAUCUAUUGUAGAAGACUAGAAAAACAUAGGAUGUGCCCAGCUGAGGCAUUGAUCCUGGCUGGGUAGGGGGAAUUGUUCAGGGAUGGGGAAGGGGCACUUCUUAGCUGUGUCUCAUCGAGUACGGGCUCAAUAAAUAAUUGAAUUUUGAGAGUGGUUCUUAUUUUAUGAGAGAAGAAUUGCUUAAUUGUAUUAAGACCUAUGAUAAAUUUAUUUCUCUCUGAUACUUUAUAAACAGGCAUCAAUACUUUACAGGGGCCACAGGAAAACAUGAAAUGAGUUUGUGGGAAGUAAGUUAGUUUUUCUAUUGCUGUGAUAAUAGAUUACCACAAACUUAGUGGCUUAAAUGAGCACGAAUUUAUUAACUUAGUUUUGUGGUUCACAUGUCUGAAAUGAGUCUCACAGGAUUAGAUCCUUGUAUCAAUGCUGAGCUGCAUUCUAGAAGCUUUAGAGAAGAAUUCCAUUUUUUCAUUCAUAUUCCUUGACCUCUUUCCAGCAAUGGCCAGAUGAGCCUCCCGUCACAUCACAUUGUCUGGUACUGACUCGUCUGCCUCCAUCUUCCACAUUUAAGGACCUUUUAAUUAAUUACAUUGGGUCCAUCUGGAUAAUCCAGGAUAAUUUCUCUAUGUUAAAGUCAGUUGAUUGGCAAAUGUAAUUCCUCUUCCCAUAUAAUUCAACAUAUUCAGUGGUUCUGGGAAUUAGUUGUGUGUCUUUGAGAGGCCAUUAUUCUUCAUAGCACACACAAGGUAGACAUCUUAAUCCUCUAGAACUGGUUUGGUUCAAGUAGUGGGUAGACACAGCUUUUUUUUUUUUAGGUUUAUACACUAGAUUUUUGCAAAAGGGUAUGAGUUGGUAUCGCACAUAUUCAUACUUUGCAGUACGUAUAUGCGAACAUGUAAAUGAAAAACUAAAAUGGCAGAAAUUUUGUUUGAAUUUGCCUGCAUUUAUAAAUUGGGAGUGAUGAAUUUUUAGAGUAGGAUGUGGACUCGGGAGUGGGGAGGAAUGCUUUCUAAUUGUAGUCUCUCAUUGUGGUCACUUAUGAACUCCACCUUCCUCUUAGAAAAUGAGGCAGUUAUACCAAUUCGAUUUGAAAGUUUUUUUUUGUUCUUUAAUAUAUAUCCUCAAAUAAAUACACCGAUGUUUGCAAUCAUUA
RNAcentral lists this long non-coding RNA (1825 nucleotides) under Homo sapiens (human). RNAcentral's name for it is "HSALNT0185659". Lineage: Eukaryota; Metazoa; Chordata; Mammalia; Primates; Hominidae. The record is from RNAcentral.